UACGUAGGGUGCAAGCGUUAAUCGGAAUUACUGGGCGUAAAGCGUGCGCAGGCGGUGAUGUAAGACAGGUGUGAAAUCCCCGGGCUUAACCUGGGAACUGCAUUUGUGACUGCAUCGCUGGAGUGCGGCAGAGGGGGAUGGAAUUCCGCGUGUAGCAGUGAAAUGCGUAGAUAUGCGGAGGAACACCGAUGGCGAAGGCAAUCCCCUGGGCCUGCACUGACGCUGAGGUGCGAAAGCGUGGGGAGCAAACAGG
This 253-nucleotide ribosomal RNA is filed under the name uncultured bacterium. RNAcentral's name for it is "partial 16S ribosomal RNA". It matches the Rfam family "Bacterial small subunit ribosomal RNA", at positions 524 to 776 of the family's 1533-position model. The record is from RNAcentral.